RNAcentral lists this ribosomal RNA (472 nucleotides) under uncultured bacterium. Its description in RNAcentral is "bacterial SSU rRNA". It matches the Rfam family "Bacterial small subunit ribosomal RNA", at positions 355 to 825 of the family's 1533-position model. The record is from RNAcentral.
UGAGGAAUAUUGGACAAUGGGCGCAAGCCUGAUCCAGCCAUGCCGCGUGUGUGAAGAAGGUCUUCGGAUUGUAAAGCACUUUAAGUUGGGAGGAAGGGCAGUAAGCUAAUACCUUGCUGUUUUGACGUUACCGACAGAAUAAGCACCGGCUAACUCUGUGCCAGCAGCCGCGGUAAUACAGAGGGUGCAAGCGUUAAUCGGAAUUACUGGGCGUAAAGCGCGCGUAGGUGGUUUGUUAAGUUGGAUGUGAAAGCCCCGGGCUCAACCUGGGAACUGCAUCCAAAACUGGCAAGCUAGAGUACGGUAGAGGGUGGUGGAAUUUCCUGUGUAGCGGUGAAAUGCGUAGAUAUAGGAAGGAACACCAGUGGCGAAGGCGACCACCUGGACUGAUACUGACACUGAGGUGCGAAAGCGUGGGGAGCAAACAGGAUUAGAUACCCCCGUAGUCCCUGAGCGGGCUGGCAAGGCGCAU